Molecule: transfer RNA, 62 nt
Filed under: Nereis sp.
Lineage: Eukaryota; Metazoa; Annelida; Polychaeta; Phyllodocida; Nereididae
Description: tRNA-Glu
Source: RNAcentral
GUGUUUAUAGUAUACUCAAUACCCUUACUUUUCACGUAAGAAAUACAUUUAUGUUAAACACA